Long non-coding RNA from Lontra canadensis (Northern American river otter), 4355 nucleotides. RefSeq lists it as uncharacterized. Lineage: Eukaryota; Metazoa; Chordata; Mammalia; Carnivora; Mustelidae. The record is from RefSeq and is a predicted model, not a curated record. The transcript is spliced from 2 exons.
UUUUAAAGAAAAGAAAAAAGUGUAAAGGAUUUUCUAUUAUAUUUUAGACAAACAUAUCUCUUUUUAAGUAUUUUAAAUACUGAAUCCAUAGUUGUUUUAUUUCGCAUCCCAGCAGUAACAGCUGAACGGUUGAACCUAACUGGCUUCCUAAGAAAUAUUUAAGAUAUAUCUGUAUUCUGAUAUUAAAUUUAAUUUUUUCAAAACUCCUUUCUAGGACCAUGUAUGUGUCUCUCUAAAAAAGAAAAAGAACUCAUUGAAAUGUUUGCUUGGGUUUUAAAUCUUUUUAUGUUUUUCUUAUUUUUUUCUUUAAGUAAACAAAAACUUUUCUUUUUUUACUGCAUGCAUAGCAUUUAAUGAAAUGGAUUUUUUAAAAAUCCACGGGUAAUAUCAGAAUGUCCAGGGAAUGGGCUGUCACUAAAAUUAUGGUUUACUUUACUUCUGUUCCACCUCUUGAUUGAAUAUUUAGUUGUUAAGUUGAAAGCCUCUGUAGUGAAGAACUUGCUUGAGUUUUCUUAAUUCAGCAACUUGACAGUUUGACUGAUGUGCAUUAUAUAGAGCUCAAUUAUGUCUGUUUUUUAUGCUAAGUAGGCAAACCAACCACACACACACGCACACACACACACACACAUUAGCAAACGGCCCUCAAUGUACAAUUAGAAUAAACUGUCUUCUUGUUAUAUUUAGAGCCUUUAGGUAUGUUCAUUAGCAGUGUGGAAAUACAGUAAAAUGGAAGAUGCCAGCUCGUUGUCAGAGUGUCUUGAAACCCUGAACAGAAAGGCUUGUUGGUCAAAUCCACACUCAGCUUAUCAAUAUUAAGUACUUCACUGGAAGGUCCAGCCUUCACCAGACCAUGGAACAAUCAGUCUGCCUGAAAAACCCCUCUGUGCCCUCCAUUUUUUGCCAAUCUGGGAAAACAUCUUUUUUUCUGCCCCAUUCUCCUCUCACACUCAAUUCCUGGGUCAUCCGCCUGUAUCUUCACCGAGCCAGUGUAAUGACCUUCAGAGCACCCAUCCUGAGGAAGGAAAGGCCCUGCAACACCGCCUCUCCUCAUUCGUGUGUGGUUUUUUUUUAUUGGCAGUAUCUGCCUUUGAAGUCACUGCCAGCCUACCUGAAAAUUUCUACAGUGCUUCCCUUGCCUUCUGUGAUGGGACCCGACUUAGGUACCCCGAUGGCAUUUUUACCAGGUGAUCCUAAAUUGAGGCGUUCACUUUGUAUUUCUUCUUAAGACAUUUCCCAACAUAUGAUGCCAGGACAGGUGGAGUAAAUCCUAACUAAGGAUGAACGUACUCAUUUUAAAGUCUGUCUUAAGCUGAUGUUUUCCCUUUACACCCCCAUUCACCCCACCCUACCUCCAUGUUAGUGUGCGCGAGUGCCAGUGUUCACAUGGCCCAUGGGAGAUGGCAGUUUCUGUGGUGUCACUGAAUGAACGCUGGUCAAAGAAAUCAAAUGCAGCACGUGUUCUGAACAGAGGGGUGUCAGUGAUGGAUGUUCAGGGAGUUGGGUCGCUGUUAUGUCAAUUUUAGUGUGUCAGUUGAGUUUGCCAUUAAAAUCUGAAACCAGCUGCGGUGAAAGACCAGCCUUUGGCUGGGGAGUUUUAAGCAUCAGUAACUGCUAUCAAACUAGCCAUCCAGUUAGGAUAGAAUGUGCUUGUUUUUGGUUAAUAAAAACCAUCGAAGAAAAUAUAUUUGUAUGUAUGUGUGUAUACAGUGGAAUUCAAGGACCAAAGCAAAAUUUGAACAGGAAUCUAUUAAUUUAGAAUUUUAUAAGAUAUUUAUUAAUAAAUGUUAUUUUGAAACAUUCCAUUUGAACAGUAUUCUUCUGUAGGAUCUACUUGUUUUUAAAGUAUUAGUUCAUAAUAAACUACUCUAGUUGUGUAUAUCUUCAUUUUUCAGGGUUUCAAAUGGCUAUUCUCCAUCAUAUGGUGGAAGUAUUUUGCUUAGAUCUCUGUGCAUAGAAAUUUCAAGGAUUUUUAUUGCUCUGUGAGUUAUUUUUUAAUCUAUGUUCUGAACGGUUUUUUAAAACAUUCUUUUCUCUUUUUUUCCUUUUUUUUUAAUUCUUAAAGUAAGCUCUUUCCUUUAGGAAGCAGAGUUCAGCUAAAGGGAAUCAGUAACUAUAACUGGAACAGCUUUCUUAUAAAAGUGUAGGAACUUCAUCUCUGCUUCUCUCCACCCCACCCCGAUUUCCUAGAAUGCCUUGCACUAUUCAGCUUCCUUAGUGCUCUCUUUGUCCAGUCCCAAACAAUGUGCCGUAGCUUUAAGCCAUUCAAGUUCCAUUAUGCAGUAUAUCUGAGAAGGAAAAGGAAACAACCCAUUUAAAUUUGAAUAAAACUGUGCCUAUGCGAACAGUAGCAAUUUAGAGUCUCUCUUCUGCUUUUAAAAUAAUUUAUAUUUUAAAAUUGCACUUUAGCUUUUUCAAUCCCUGUUUCUCUGGUUCUUUCUCAAAGACCCUCCCUUUCCUCAGACUUGCCUUCUGCUCUCCUCUUUCCAACUCCCCACCCUUCCCCUCAGGCUCUGAGCUGCAUCAUUCAAAAUACUUUACAGAAUAUUUGCACCAGGUACAUGUGCGUGCGUUCCUUAGUAUCCUAGCAAAGACAUGUUCCUCAUGUCAGCCUAGAUGAAGCCUGCUACGAGAAAACCAAGGAGAAGAGCCAGUUUAUACUCUUUAACCCUUUAUUCAUAGCAUGUUUUUAAAAAAAUGUUAUAUUAUGCAACAGAUGUGAGGCAGCAGCUAAGCUAUACUUAAGAAUUUUCUAUCUCAUCCUCCAAACCAAAGUGUCCUGAAUGAGCCAGGAGACUUACUCUUUUGUGCACCAUGGUGCAUGUGGACUGUGGUCCCAGCCGUCGUCUCUCUGAGGCUGCGGAAGUAGGAGCGGCCCUAUUUCAUUCCUGGGUCUCAAAAAUACAAUGUUGCCUUGUGACAUAAUUAGGGACAGCACCUGUGUUUUACAAUGAUAAUCUGAGAAAGGACAAGAAGACACUGAGCAAUAAACUUACCAGUAAAAUUCAAUACCAAAACAAAGAAAUGAAAACAAAAACAAAAACCCUAACUCAUGAUGUUGUGAAAGUGAAAAAGUGUAUGUCCACUCAAAAUAUUUUACUAUUUCUUGUGGAGUUUUUCAGUGAUGUAAUGCUUAUAGCCAAAUUGCUUAAAGAGUGUUUAUAUAUUUUUUUCCUUAUAAAUUGUCUAUUUUUUAAAAAAAGAAACUAUUUACCACAAGUUGAAGAGGGGGGUAAGGCCAAAUUGCCAGCAUUUGUUAAAUGAUUAAUAUUCUUAAGUGGCACUCUGAUACGUUUCCAAGCUUAUCAUCAGAGGGGAAUCAGUAACGAUCAGCUCUUGUAUUUCGACCAACUUAUAAUAUGUAGCUCAUUAGAAAUCAGGAUUUAGAAAGCUCUUCAUAAGCCAUUUAGAAUUUCCUACCUUGAGUUUCAUAUUAUAGAACUUUCUAGGAUUUUUUGAAAAAGAGAAUUAUUUUAGCCUCAGGACUGAGAAUGUGGAAUCUGAAUAAAUUAGCUUUAACUAUAUUGUUAAAAUCUUAUGCACAAUAAGCUCAUUAGACUCUAGUUGGCUCCUUUAGAAUACCGAUGCCAUUGACAGGAGAUAAUGGAAGGUAUCAGCCUUGCUGCAGUGAAGGGAGCUUCAGAGAAGUGGUCCUUCCCAACCAGCCAGCCAGUGGAAGAGAAGACCUACUCACCCUCUUUCCUUCUACAAUCUGCUAAACACACCUGCCUCAGAGAGAGGAGUUCUGCGUUUUGAGGUUUGGCUUAGAUAAAUGAUAAGCUUGAAAUCUUCUCCCUGGAGAGGACCUGGGGUUUAGGAUCUUCUGAAAAGGCCCAGAAAAAUGGCUCUGUUCAAACACAACGUUCUAGGACAAUUGGAAUAUAAAUAUUAUCCAAAACUAGAACUUUAAAAAAAAAAAAAAAUUUUACCCUUGUGGAAAAUAAGUGCUAACUAAGGAAGUCCCCCCACCUGCCCCCACAAAAAAGGUGCUGUCACUUUAAGUUCUGGACUGGGGGGGUUGUUUGUAAUUGUAAACAGCAAAGCAUUUAUGUUUGUCUGUCUUAUUUGUAAAGCAACCACCUUCCUUACUGGAAGGAGAAAAAAAAAUUGGGAGUACAUACAUGUAAAUACUUGCUACAGCAUUUAAUAUGUUCAAUUUUAUGUUAAGCUUUUUGUUGCAUCGUGAACACAUUUAUUGUUACCAAUGGACAAUGAGUUCAUGAAGACUGUUCAACUAGGUCAGAUUUUACAUCUCUUUUGAGCAAGAGGAGACAAGAUUUUGUGCAUUUGUACAAAUGUUAAUAAUAUCACUGCAAUUCCAAUAUAAUAAAGCACUCAAAUGCAAAUAAUACAUGUAA